GGCGGCAGGCUACACAUGCAGUCGAGCGGUAGCACAGAGAGCUUGCUCUCGGGUGACGAGCGGCGGACGGGUGAGUAAUGUCUGGGAAACUGCCUGAUGGAGGGGGAUAACUACUGGAAACGGUAGCUAAUACCGCAUAAUGUCGCAAGACCAAAGUGGGGGACCUUCGGGCCUCAUGCCAUCAGAUGUGCCCAGAUGGGAUUAGCUAGUAGGUGGGGUAACGGCUCACCUAGGCGACGAUCCCUAGCUGGUCUGAGAGGAUGACCAGCCACACUGGAACUGAGACACGGUCCAGACUCCUACGGGAGGCAGCAGUGGGGAAUAUUGCACAAUGGGCGCAAGCCUGAUGCAGCCAUGCCGCGUGUGUGAAGAAGGCCUUCGGGUUGUAAAGCACUUUCAGCGGGGAGGAAGGCGGUGAGGUUAAUAACCUUAUCGAUUGACGUUACCCGCAGAAGAAGCACCGGCUAACUCCGUGCCAGCAGCCGCGGUAAUACGGAGGGUGCAAGCGUUAAUCGGAAUUACUGGGCGUAAAGCGCACGCAGGCGGUCUGUCAAGUCGGAUGUGAAAUCCCCGGGCUCAACCUGGGAACUGCAUUCGAAACUGGCAGGCUAGAGUCUUGUAGAGGGGGGUAGAAUUCCAGGUGUAGCGGUGAAAUGCGUAGAGAUCUGGAGGAAUACCGGUGGCGAAGGCGGCCCCCUGGACAAAGACUGACGCUCAGGUGCGAAAGCGUGGGGAGCAAACAGGAUUAGAUACCCUGGUAGUCCACGCCGUAAACGAUGUCGAUUUGGAGGUUGUGCCCUUGAGGCGUGGCUUCCGGAGCUAACGCGUUAAAUCGACCGCCUGGGGAGUACGGCCGCAAGGUUAAAACUCAAAUGAAUUGACGGGGGCCCGCACAAGCGGUGGAGCAUGUGGUUUAAUUCGAUGCAACGCGAAGAACCUUACCUGGUCUUGACAUCCACAGAACUUACCAGAGAUGGAUUGGUGCCUUCGGGAACUGUGAGACAGGUGCUGCAUGGCUGUCGUCAGCUCGUGUUGUGAAAUGUUGGGUUAAGUCCCGCAACGAGCGCAACCCUUAUCCUUUGUUGCCAGCGGUUCGGCCGGGAACUCAAAGGAGACUGCCAGUGAUAAACUGGAGGAAGGUGGGGAUGACGUCAAGUCAUCAUGGCCCUUACGACCAGGGCUACACACGUGCUACAAUGGCAUAUACAAAGAGAAGCGACCUCGCGAGAGCAAGCGGACCUCAUAAAGUAUGUCGUAGUCCGGAUUGGAGUCUGCAACUCGACUCCAUGAAGUCGGAAUCGCUAGUAAUCGUAGAUCAGAAUGCUACGGUGAAUACGUUCCCGGGCCUUGUACACACCGCCCGUCACACCAUGGGAGUGGGUUGCAAAAGAAGUAGGUAGCUUAACCUUCGGGAGGCGCUACCACUUUG
RNAcentral lists this ribosomal RNA (1429 nucleotides) under Klebsiella pneumoniae subsp. pneumoniae. Its description in RNAcentral is "bacterial SSU rRNA". It matches the Rfam family "Bacterial small subunit ribosomal RNA". The record is from RNAcentral. Lineage: Bacteria; Pseudomonadati; Pseudomonadota; Gammaproteobacteria; Enterobacterales; Enterobacteriaceae.